This 460-nucleotide ribosomal RNA is filed under the name uncultured bacterium. RNAcentral's name for it is "partial 16S ribosomal RNA". It matches the Rfam family "Bacterial small subunit ribosomal RNA", at positions 338 to 795 of the family's 1533-position model. The record is from RNAcentral.
CCUACGGGGGGCAGCAGUGAGGAAUAUUGGUCAAUGGACGAGAGUCUGAACCAGCCAAGUAGCGUGAAGGAUGACUGCCCUAUGGGUUGUAAACUUCUUUUAUAUGGGAAUAAAAUGUUCCACGUGUGGGAUUUUGUAUGUACCAUAUGAAUAAGGAUCGGCUAACUCCGUGCCAGCAGCCGCGGUAAUACGGAGGAUCCGAGCCUUAUCCGGAUUUAUUGGGUUUAAAGGGAGCGUAGGUGGAUUGUUAAGUCAGUUGUGAAAGUUUGCGGCGCAACCGUAAAAUUGCAGUUGAAACUGGCAGUCUUGAGUACAGUAGAGGUGGGCGGAAGUCGUGGUGUAGCGGUGAAAUGCUUAGAUAUCACGAAGAACUCCGAUUGCGAAGGCAGUUCACUGGACUGCAACUGACACUGAGGCUCGAAAGUGUGGGUAUCAAACAGGAUUAGAUACCCUUGUAGUC